GGAAGAUUGGCCGAGCGGUCGAAGGCGCAUGUUUGGAGUACAUGUAUACGGGUAACCGUAUCUAGGGUUCGAAUCCCUAAUCUUCCGA
RNAcentral lists this transfer RNA (88 nucleotides) under Caudoviricetes sp. RNAcentral describes it as "tRNA-Ser". It matches the Rfam family "tRNA". Rfam says of the family: Transfer RNA (tRNA) molecules are approximately 80 nucleotides in length. Their secondary structure includes four short double-helical elements and three loops (D, anti-codon, and T loops). Lineage: Duplodnaviria; Heunggongvirae; Uroviricota; Caudoviricetes. The record is from RNAcentral.